RNAcentral lists this ribosomal RNA (253 nucleotides) under uncultured bacterium. Its description in RNAcentral is "partial 16S ribosomal RNA". It matches the Rfam family "Bacterial small subunit ribosomal RNA", at positions 524 to 776 of the family's 1533-position model. The record is from RNAcentral.
UACGAAGGGGGCUAGCGUUGCUCGGAAUUACUGGGCGUAAAGGGAGCGUAGGCGGAUAGUUUAGUCAGAGGUGAAAGCCCAGGGCUCAACCUUGGAAUUGCCUUUGAUACUGGCUAUCUUGAGUAUGGAAGAGGUAUGUGGAACUCCGAGUGUAGAGGUGAAAUUCGUAGAUAUUCGGAAGAACACCAGUGGCGAAGGCGACAUACUGGCUCAUUACUGACGCUGAGGCUCGAAAGCGUGGGGAGCAAACAGG